AGCGGAUGAGAGGAGCUUGCUCNUCGAUUCAGCGGCGGACGGGUGAGUAAUGCCUAGGAAUCUGCCUAGUAGUGGGGGACAACGUUUCGAAAGGAACGCUAAUACCGCAUACGUCCUACGGGAGAAAGUGGGGGAUCUUCGGACCUCACGCUAUUAGAUGAGCCUAGGUCGGAUUAGCUAGUUGGUAGGGUAAAGGCCUACCAAGGCGACGAUCCGUAACUGGUCUGAGAGGAUGAUCAGUCACACUGGAACUGAGACACGGUCCAGACUCCUACGGGAGGCAGCAGUGGGGAAUAUUGGACAAUGGGCGAAAGCCUGAUCCAGCCAUGCCGCGUGUGUGAAGAAGGCCUUCGGGUCGUAAAGCACUUUAAGUUGGGAGGAAGGGCUCAUAGCGAAUACCUGUGAGUUUUGACGUUACCAACAGAAUAAGCACCGGCUAACUUCGUGCCAGCAGCCGCGGUAAUACGAAGGGUGCAAGCGUUAAUCGGAAUUACUGGGCGUAAAGCGCGCGUAGGUGGCUUGAUAAGUUGGAUGUGAAAUCCCCGGGCUCAACCUGGGAACUGCAUCCAAAACUGUCUGGCUAGAGUGCGGUAGAGGGUA
This 600-nucleotide ribosomal RNA is filed under the name bacterium Ca.S13. Its description in RNAcentral is "bacterial SSU rRNA". It matches the Rfam family "Bacterial small subunit ribosomal RNA", at positions 65 to 660 of the family's 1533-position model. The record is from RNAcentral.